Molecule: ribosomal RNA, 316 nt
Filed under: uncultured bacterium
Lineage: Bacteria
Description: bacterial SSU rRNA
Rfam family: Bacterial small subunit ribosomal RNA
Source: RNAcentral
GACGAACGCUGGCGGCGCGCCUAACACAUGCAAGUCGAACGGAGUUACAUUGAAAGCUUGCUGGAUAUGUAACUUAGUGGCGGACGGGUGAGUAACACGUGAGUAAUCUGCCUUCCAGAGGGGAAUAACGUUUGGAAACGAACGCUAAUACCGCAUAACGUGCGGUCCUCGCAUGGGGACUGUACCAAAGAUUUUAUCGCUGGAAGAUGAGCUCGCGGCCGAUUAGGUAGUUGGUGAGAUAACGGCUCACCAAGCCGACGAUCUUUAGCUGGUCUGAGAGGAUGAUCAGCCACACUGGGACUGAGACACGGCCCAG